GUUGUUCGGAAUUACUGGGCGUAAAGGGCGCGUAGGCGGGCCAUCAAGUCCGGGGUGAAAUCCUCCGGCUUAACCGGAGAAUUGCCUUGGAUACUGGUGGUCUUGAGGGAAGUAGGGGUCUGCGGAACUUCCGGUGGAGCGGUGAAAUGUGUUGAUAUCGGAAGGAACGCCGGUGGCGAAAGCGGCGGACUGGGCUUCUUCUGACGCUGAGGCGCGAAAGCUAGGGGAGCAAACGGG
This 237-nucleotide ribosomal RNA is filed under the name uncultured bacterium. Its description in RNAcentral is "partial 16S ribosomal RNA". It matches the Rfam family "Bacterial small subunit ribosomal RNA", at positions 540 to 776 of the family's 1533-position model. The record is from RNAcentral.